This 90-nucleotide transfer RNA is filed under the name Microtetraspora sp. NBRC 13810. RNAcentral describes it as "tRNA-Arg". Lineage: Bacteria; Bacillati; Actinomycetota; Actinomycetes; Streptosporangiales; Streptosporangiaceae. The record is from RNAcentral.
CCCGGCCGUGGCCGAGGUGAUCGUCGUGGACGACGAGUCCACCGACGCCACCGCCCGGGUGGCCGCCGGGCUCGGCGCCCGGGUCGUGCC